AUCGACCGAUAGUGAACCAGUACCGUGAGGGAAAGGCGAAAAGAACCCCGGGAGGGGAGUGAAAUAGAAUCUGAAACCGCAUACAUACAAACAGUAGGAGCCCGCGAGGGUGACUGCGUACCUUUUGCAUAAUGGGUCAGCGACUUACGUUCAGUAGCGAGCUUAACCGAGUAGGGGAGGCGUAGCGAAAGCGAGUUCGAAUAGAGCGGACAGUUGCUGGGCGUAGACCCGAAACCGGAUGAUCUAUCCAUGACCAGGUUGAAGUUGUGGUAACACACAAUGGAGGACCGAACCGACUAGUGUUGCAAAAUUAGCGGAUGAGUUGUGGAUAGGGGUGAAAGGCUAAACAAAUCCGGAGAUAGCUGGUUCUCCCCGAAAACUAUUGAGGUAGUGCCUCGCGUAUCACUCCAGGGGGUAGAGCACUGUUAUGGCUAGGGGGACAUGGCGUCUUACCAAACCAUGGCAAACUCCGAAUACUUGGAAGUGUGAGCGCGGGAGACAGAGCACCGGGUGCUAACGUCCGGACUCAAAAGGGAAACAACCCAGACCGCCGGCUAAGGUCCCUAAUAUUUGCUAAGUGGAAAACGAAGUGGAAAGGCUAAGACAGUCAGGAAGUUGGCUUAGAAGCAGCCAUCCUUUAAAGAAAGCGUAAUAGCUCACUGAUCGAGUCUUUCUGCGCGGAAGAUGUAACGGGGCUAAGCAAGUAACCGAAGCCGCGGAUUCAUACGUAAGUAUGAGUGGUAGGGGAGCGUUCUGUAAGCCUGCGAAGGUGUGUUGAGAAGCAUGCUGGAGGUAUCAGAAGUGCGAAUGCUGACAUGAGUAACGUUAAAGCGGGUGAAAAGCCCGCUCGCCGUAAGCCCAAGGUUUCCUGCUCUACGUUCAUCGGAGCAGGGUGAGUCGGCCCCUAAGGCCAGGCUGAGAAGCGUAGUCGAUGGGAACAAGGUUAAUAUUCCUAGACCAUUGUCAAGUAUGCGAUGGGGGGACGGAGUGUGAAAGAUGAUCCGGGUGUUGGAUAUCCCGGUUUGUGAGAGUAGAAGGAAGGCAGGCAAAUCCGCCUUCGAAUCUUCGAGUCAAAACAUCGAUUCUCCACGUGAGAAGAAGUCAUCGGAAGUGCUUCCAAGAAAAGCCUCUAAGUGGUAGCUUGACAAGACCGUACCGCAAACCGACACUGGUGGGCGAGUUGAAUAUACUAAGGCGCUUGAGAGAACUCGGGAGAAGGAACUCGGCAAAUUGACACCGUAACUUCGGAAGAAGGUGUGCCUUUGUAGCGUGAGAGAAGAAACAUCUUAAGCGUGAAGAGGCCUCAGAGAAUAGGUGGCUGCAACUGUUUACUAAAAACAUAGCACUCUGCAAAGAUGAAAGUCGACGUAUAGGGUGUGAUGCCUGCCCGGUGCUGGAAGAUUAAUUGAUGGGGUGCAAGCUCCUGAUCGAAGUCCCAGUAAACGGCGGCCGUAACUAUAACGGUCCUAAGGUAGCGAAAUUCCUUGUC
Molecule: ribosomal RNA, 1489 nt
Filed under: human metagenome
Description: bacterial LSU rRNA
Rfam family: Bacterial large subunit ribosomal RNA
Source: RNAcentral